UUUAAGUUUUACUUAUAAGGAUUUAAAAUUUGAUUAUGGUUUUAGGUAGUGUUAUAAUGAUGUUAUCUGUUUUGGAUUCAUUGAAUGGGCAAUAAUUUUUUACCCUGGCAUUUUGUCGUUUGUAUAAAUUUUGUUCCAGAAUAAUCGGCUAGACUUUAUAAACUUGAACUCUAAUUGAUGUUAGUUUAGGGUUUUGUAAAUAUAUCUUGUUUUUUAGGGUGAAAUCGGGAAUUUUUAUUGAUAAUGCUCUAAUCUUUAAGAUUUGGUGAAUGAAUCAGAUUAGUACCUGAUUAAACAAAAAUUAAAAGAGCAGGAGUAAAGUUGUAUUUAAACUGUAAGAAUAUUGGCAGGUUUUUAAAUUAUCUUUGGAGGUUGAGUAGUAAUUGAGAGCCCUCAUUAACAACUUUUACUGUAGGCGCAUGUAUGAUCGUUUAUUUUAUUCUUAAGGAUUGUAAUUUUAGAUUAACUAUUUUCUGUAAAAAUAGAUAAAUACUUGGUAUAUGUAAAAGAUUUAAUUUGACCUACAAUAUGCUAUCUUGUGGAUACUUUUUUAGUAGAAGGUUGAAAAUGUAAAAGACAGUAAGUUUUUUUUUAUAUAAAGCUGAAGUUUAUUUAAAAACGGUACAAAUCAUCCAUCAAUUGCCUUCAGGGGAGUAAGUUGUAGUAAAGUAGAGUUAGGGGAACCUGGCUYUAGUAAUUA
RNAcentral lists this non-coding RNA (700 nucleotides) under Ascaris sp. chimpanzee-cA. Lineage: Eukaryota; Metazoa; Nematoda; Chromadorea; Rhabditida; Ascarididae. The record is from RNAcentral.